RNAcentral lists this transfer RNA (119 nucleotides) under Claviceps arundinis. RNAcentral's name for it is "tRNA-Ala". It matches the Rfam family "tRNA". Rfam says of the family: Transfer RNA (tRNA) molecules are approximately 80 nucleotides in length. Their secondary structure includes four short double-helical elements and three loops (D, anti-codon, and T loops). Further hydrogen bonds mediate the characteristic L-shaped molecular structure. tRNAs have two regions of fundamental functional importance: the anti-codon, which is responsible for specific mRNA codon recognition, and the 3' end, to which the tRNAs corresponding amino acid is attached (by aminoacyl-tRNA synthetases). tRNAs cope with the degeneracy of the genetic code in two manners: having more than one tRNA (with a specific anti-codon) for a particular amino acid; and 'wobble' base-pairing, i.e. permitting non-standard base-pairing at the 3rd anti-codon position. The record is from RNAcentral. Lineage: Eukaryota; Fungi; Ascomycota; Sordariomycetes; Hypocreales; Clavicipitaceae.
GGGCGAAUGGUUUAGUGGUAUAAUACUCCCUUAGCAUAAAUUGGUUAUGGAACAACCGGUUCAUGGUGACCAGUGCCAAAGGUUGGGAGUGGUCCAGGGUUCGAUUCCCUGUUCGUCCA